RNAcentral lists this long non-coding RNA (384 nucleotides) under Androctonus crassicauda. The record is from RNAcentral. Lineage: Eukaryota; Metazoa; Arthropoda; Arachnida; Scorpiones; Buthidae.
UAGGAUGAAAGCUGAAGGUGCUUAGUUGGAAGAAUACAGAAAUGGGACAAGAUUUUAUAGCAAAUUUGGCUAUGAAAUCUUAUCUUUUAUUAUGCAUGCUGCAGAAAUGUGACUAUUUCUGCAGCUCAGUGUGCGGGUGCAUUUCAGCUAGCAGCAAUACACUUCUUGACAGCAAACUAUGUCUUUUUUCCUUGAUAUUGUCCCAUAACUUUUGUAUCAAGCCUGUUAUUGUUGACCUUUUUUGUUAAGUAGUCUUAACAGAUAACAGAUUUUGCUGGACAGCAUUCUCUCAAAUCAUCUUGUAGGCUGGUGUGACCAUAUAUGAAUUCUUGUUUCCAUCAUUUCACAGUUUGAUAUGAUGGAUGUUCCUCGCUAUACAUAGCC